RNAcentral lists this ribosomal RNA (358 nucleotides) under uncultured bacterium. RNAcentral's name for it is "partial 16S ribosomal RNA". It matches the Rfam family "Bacterial small subunit ribosomal RNA", at positions 338 to 689 of the family's 1533-position model. The record is from RNAcentral.
CCUACGGGUGGCAGCAGUAGGGCAUUUUCGUCAAUGGGCGCAAGCCUGAACGAGCAAUGCCGCGUGAACGAGGAAGGUCUUCGGAUCGUAAAGUUCUGUUGAAGGGGAAAAAGAGCGGAGAGAGGAAAUGCUUUCUGAUUGAUAUUACCUUUCGAGGAAGUCGCGGCUAACUACGUGCCAGCAGCCGCGGUAAUACGUAGGUGGCCAGCGUUAUCCGGAAUGAUUGGGCGUAAAGGGUGCUUAGGCGGCCUGCUAAGUCUGGAGUGAAAGGUUCCGGCUCAAACGGUACAGGCUCUGGAACCUGGCGGGCUAGGGAGCAGGAGAGGGCGGUGGAACUCCAUGGGUAGCGGUAGAAUGC